RNAcentral lists this ribosomal RNA (253 nucleotides) under uncultured bacterium. Its description in RNAcentral is "partial 16S ribosomal RNA". It matches the Rfam family "Bacterial small subunit ribosomal RNA", at positions 524 to 776 of the family's 1533-position model. The record is from RNAcentral.
UACAGAGGUCUCAAGCGUUGUUCGGAUUCAUUGGGCGUAAAGGGUGCGUAGGCGGUGUCGUAAGUCGGAUGUGAAAUCCCGGGGCUUAACUUCGGAACUGCAUUCGAUACUGCGAUACUCGAGGACUCGAGAGGAGAUUGGAAUUCACGGUGUAGCAGUGAAAUGCGUAGAUAUCGUGAGGAAGACCAGUGGCGAAGGCGGAUCUCUGGAGAGUUCCUGACGCUGAGGCACGAAGGUCAGGGGAGCAAACGGG